GGCAGUAUAGUCCGAACUGCAAAUCUUAUUUUCUUUUCACCUUCUCUCUAACUGCC
This 56-nucleotide unclassified non-coding RNA is filed under the name Homo sapiens (human). RNAcentral describes it as "C-JUN SL1 from Homo sapiens (PDB 6NOA, chain A)". Lineage: Eukaryota; Metazoa; Chordata; Mammalia; Primates; Hominidae. The record is from RNAcentral.